UAAGAAUUUAAAAGUCGAACAGACUUAUUAUUAAGAAUACUGCUUCUUAAAAUUUUCUUAAUUCAACAUCGAGGUCGCAAAAUACAAUAUAGAUAUGAACUCCCCACUGAAAUUACGCUGUUAUCCCUAAGGUAACUUAAUCUUCUUGUCCCCAAUUUAUAUUGAGAUCUAAAAUUACAUAAAAAAAUGAAUAUUAAAACUAAAGUUAACUAUUUAGCUGCCACCCCAGCAAAAUAUAAAAUAAUAUUAAAAAGGUUCAUGAAAUAAAACUUAAUAAAACCAAAUUAUAUAAAGUUCUAUAGGGUCUUAUCGUCCCAAUAAACUAAUAAAGCAUUUUAACUUUAAAUUUAAAUUUUAAUAAUUAAAAAAAUAAAAUAUACUUCUCAUACUUCCGUUCAUACAAGCUUUCAAUUAAAAAACUAAUUACUAUGCUACCUUUGCACAGUCAAAAUACUGCAGCCAUUUAGAUAUUUUAAACCAUAGGGCAGGAGAUACUUUUUAUAAACACCA
This 510-nucleotide ribosomal RNA is filed under the name Nesophrosyne sp. 270 GMB-2012. Its description in RNAcentral is "partial 16S ribosomal RNA". Lineage: Eukaryota; Metazoa; Arthropoda; Insecta; Hemiptera; Cicadellidae. The record is from RNAcentral.